UACGUAGGGUGCGAGCGUUAAUCGGAAUUACUGGGCGUAAAGCGUGCGCAGGCGGUUUGCUAAGACCGAUGUGAAAUCCCCGGGCUUAACCUGGGAACUGCAUUGGUGACUGGCAGGCUAGAGUAUGGCGAGAGGGGGGUAGAAUUCCACGUGAUAGCAGUGAAAUGCGUAGAGAUGUGGAGGAAUACCGAUGGCGAAGGCAGCCCCCUGGGCCAAUACUGACGCUCAUG
This 230-nucleotide ribosomal RNA is filed under the name uncultured bacterium. RNAcentral's name for it is "partial 16S ribosomal RNA". It matches the Rfam family "Bacterial small subunit ribosomal RNA", at positions 524 to 751 of the family's 1533-position model. The record is from RNAcentral.